This 1372-nucleotide ribosomal RNA is filed under the name uncultured bacterium. Its description in RNAcentral is "bacterial SSU rRNA". It matches the Rfam family "Bacterial small subunit ribosomal RNA", at positions 28 to 1381 of the family's 1533-position model. The record is from RNAcentral.
GAUGAACGCUGGCGGCGUGCCUAAUACAUGCAAGUCGAGCGAACAGAUAAGGAGCUUGCUCCUUUGAAGUUAGCGGCGGACGGGUGAGUAACACGUGGGUAACCUACCUAUAAGACUGGGAUAACUUCGGGAAACCGGAGCUAAUACCGGAUAACAUUUAGAACCGCAUGGUCCUAAAGUGAAAGAUGGUUUUGCUAUCACUUAUAGAUGGACCCGCGCCGUAUUAGCUAGUUGGUAAGGUAACGGCUUACCAAGGCGACGAUACGUAGCCGACCUGAGAGGGUGAUCGGCCACACUGGAACUGAGACACGGUCCACACUCCUACGGGAGGCAGCAGUAGGGAAUCUUCCGCAAUGGGCGAAAGCCUGACGGAGCAACGCCGCGUGAGUGAUGAAGGGUUUCGGCUCGUAAAACUCUGUUAUUAGGGAAGAACAAAUGUGUAAGUAACUGUGCACAUCUUGACGGUACCUAAUCAGAAAGCCACGGCUAACUACGUGCCAGCAGCCGCGGUAAUACGUAGGUGGCAAGCGUUAUCCGGAAUUAUUGGGCGUAAAGCGCGCGUAGGCGGUUUCUUAAGCCUGAUGUGAAAGCCCAUGGCUCAACCGUGGAGGGUCAUUGGAAACUGGGAAACUUGAGUGCAGAAGAGGAAAGUGGAAUUCCAUGUGUAGCGGUGAAAUGCGCAGAGAUAUGGAGGAACACCAGUGGCGAAGGCGACUUUCUGGUCUGUAACUGACGCUGAUGUGCGAAAGCGUGGGGAUCAAACAGGAUUAGAUACCCUGGUAGUCCACGCCGUAAACGAUGAGUGCUAAGUGUUAGGGGGUUUCCGCCCCUUAGUGCUGCAGCUAACGCAUUAAGCACUCCGCCUGGGGAGUACGACCGCAAGGUUGAAACUCAAAGGAAUUGACGGGGACCCGCACAAGCGGUGGAGCAUGUGGUUUAAUUCGAAGCAACGCGAAGAACCUUACCAAAUCUUGACAUCCUUUGAAAACUCUAGAGAUAGAGCCUUCCCCUUCGGGGGACAAAGUGACAGGUGGUGCAUGGUUGUCGUCAGCUCGUGUCGUGAGAUGUUGGGUUAAGUCCCGCAACGAGCGCAACCCUUAAGCUUAGUUGCCAUCAUUAAGUUGGGCACUCUAGGUUGACUGCCGGUGACAAACCGGAGGAAGGUGGGGAUGACGUCAAAUCAUCAUGCCCCUUAUGAUUUGGGCUACACACGUGCUACAAUGGACAAUACAAAGGGCAGCUAAACCGCGAGGUCAUGCAAAUCCCAUAAAGUUGUUCUCAGUUCGGAUUGUAGUCUGCAGCUCGACUACAUGAAGCUGGAAUCGCUAGUAAUCGUAGAUCAGCAUGCUACGGUGAAUACGUUCCCGGGUCU